CCCAACCCCCUCUAUCGUCUCUUUACCACACCCCAUCUCCUCAAACCCUAAUUCCGCCGCCACCAAACCCCACCGCCCUAGGGUGUUAGGCGCCACUUCCAAUCGCUCCCAAAUUUACACCACCAGAUCAUCUCUCCCUCCUCUUUCCAUCCCCGUGCUUGAAAAUCCUCGAAUCACAUUCCGCCGUGUUGAAUCUUCGAUUUAAUUUUUCCAAUCAAGUUCUGAAAUAGCCCAAUCUGGCCCAAAUUGGUACCAGAUAACCUUCGUCCCUUCCCUAUCAAUAAAACAUGUUCGGAAUCCCUCAAAUACAAGCAGAAGGUCCUGAAUCGCGGAUCUAUGGUUUUGAGGUUUGAAGCUAUAUUAGGGAUUUUUCUCGGUCGAAUUCUUUUUACAGUAAGUUCUCUUCCAUGUUCUAAGUUCGAUUAGUUUGAUGACUUCUUUUCUUCUCCUCUUUUGAUUUGAUCGAUUCUGAGACCAUGCGUAGUUAAUUCAGAGUUCAUGUCUCCUUGAUGUUUAAUCUUUGUGUCGAUUCUUUUGUCCAGUUCCGUAUUAAGCUUAGGUAAUAUCAAUCCAUCCUUGUGGUUUUGCUUAAAUACUUUAAUAAUGCUUUGUUAGCUUGCUUGAUUUCUUGUCCUUUAGUUUCAGUUUGAUUUUUAUUAUCUUGAUUAAUUUUUGUUUUAUUGAAAUUUGUUGUGAUUCAAUGCAUAAUUGUGUUCUAGUUUCAAUUUUGUGUUUAAUCCGUAUUUACCAGUUCAUGAUGUUACUUCUAUUAUCGCACUUUGUGUUAGUCAGCUGUUAAUUAGUUUCUUUUGCCUAAUUUCUAUUUACUUUGGUCUAGCAAUAAUGUUAAUCAAAGCAUUAAAGUGAGUUAGGAUUAAAUUUUGGGUGGUGUUGAUUGGUUAUAGUUAGUUUGGAUUCAUUAGGGUUAACUUCAGUUAGCUUUUAACAGGGGUAUAGGGGUUUGGUAUAGCAGACCUUAGUAUGUAAAUUUCAGAGUGGGCAAGGGUAGUCUGGGCAUCCAAAAAGGGUAAUUUUAUUAGAAUUAGUAAUUUCAAAAUAGGGGUAAGGGUAGUAUGGGUAUUUUGGGGGCUAAAAGAGCAUCCUAGAUGCUUCUAGAAUAUGGUGCAAGUGUAGAUUUCAGGUUUUUAAAAGCACUUACUUGGGUAGCAAGUUAGGAAUAGUAGGACCAAACUAAAAUAAUGGAGGGACUAACAAGCAAACCCUCAAAUAUGAUUUUCCUCUUUUAGUGGCCUAGAAAAGGGCAUCAAGUGCCUUAAGGAAGGGGGUUCUCUCUUCAGCCAAUAUUACCCUAAAAACAUCCUUUAUACAUUAAUUUUCAGAUUGGCAUUUCUCUGAUUCUCUGUCAUAGAGAACUCAAAAAUUUAUUUUAGAUUUUAGUCUUAUAUUGAAAACCAAAAAAAAAAAAGUCGAAAAACCAAAAAAGGUACUAUUUCGUUCAAUCUCUUAGCUAAUUCGUGGUUUUAGUUAAGUGGUUUGUAUUUCUAGCUCAUAUUUUAGUAGUUGCAAUUCAGAGUUAGUCAUGGAUUGAUUUCGAGUGGUUGCGGAGUUCAAACAAGUCGGUUUUGGUAUUGGUUUAAGUGCUGAGCUACUAUAGUAUAUUUCUGGGUCAUUUUGGUUUUUAUUUGGGUUUAAUGGAACUCAUUUUGGUGUGAUCUGUCGAAUCUGCUAGUUGUAUAGCAUUUCAGGACUGUUUUUUACUCGUUUCUGGGCUGGAACUUGGUGUGAUUUGUCCAAUUGAAUCUGAACUGCUGUUGUUGAUCUCUGCUCACUGUUGUUGACUCAUUCUUCUUUCUCUUGUAUUUCACAUAUUCAGGUACACAUUUUAAAACUUGACCUGGUGUAAUUAUGAAGUUGAAAUGCAAUCACAUGUUCAUUCAUCUGUCUCUGGAAGCCACAUCUAUUAGAAUAUGAUGCCAUUGUAGUUAACUGGAUAUUAGAUUAGUGUAGUUUAUUUAUGCUUUGUAUGAAUCUAAUUGGACUAUCCUAGACUAUUUAAACUUAUGGUCAUCUAGUUUAGGGUUCAGUAUAGUUAACAUUUGUCUGUUAAAACGAGGAAUUAGAAUUGAUUUGGGUUUUGCAAUAGGUUUUGAAAUCUGCAUGUAAUGUUCAUGUAAUCUUCGUUCAAGACGACGAGACAAUUUCAAAUUAUUUUGUAUUGCUGUAGUUGAUAUCAAUAGAAUAAUCAUUCAUGUAUUUCAGCUCAGUUAUAUGAUGAUCAAAUGUGGAUUAAGUCCAAAUAUAUUAGUUAAAUUAAUUUAAUCUGUUUGAAUAAUUAAACUGUUGUCAGGGAAUUGAAAUUGAACGAGUGAUCUCAAAGUGCCAAGCUGUUAUUGCAUUGAAGCCUCACACUGAGUUUGAAUUUGGGCAAAGAACGCUCGGCCCAAACCAGGCCUGAAAUCCAUUUGUAGGCCUCGCGAAUCGAACUCAGUGCCUUAUCAAAUUUGCUUCCAUCAGCCUUUAAGUGGGCAUUCCCUUUGGGCCUCCAUACCCUUUCACGCAGGCCCAUGUUCAAUGGUAUGCUCUUUCAC
This 2549-nucleotide long non-coding RNA is filed under the name Nicotiana benthamiana. RNAcentral's name for it is "long non-coding RNA (NBEN_LNC003593)". The record is from RNAcentral. Lineage: Eukaryota; Viridiplantae; Streptophyta; Magnoliopsida; Solanales; Solanaceae.